ACGAUGAGCAAUCUGCCCCUGACUCUGGGAUAAGCGCUGGAAACGGCGUCUAAUACCGGAUACGAGCUGCGAAGGCAUCUUCAGCAGCUGGAAAGAAUUUCGGUCAGGGAUGAGCUCGCGGCCUAUCAGCUUGUUGGUGAGGUAACGGCUCACCAAGGCGUCGACGGGUAGCCGGCCUGAGAGGGUGACCGGCCACACUGGGACUGAGACACGGCCCAGACUCCUACGGGAGGCAGCAGUGGGGAAUAUUGCACAAUGGGCGCAAGCCUGAUGCAGCAACGCCGCGUGAGGGACGACGGCCUUCGGGUUGUAAACCUCUUUUAGCAGGGAAGAAGCGAAAGUGACGGUACCUGCAGAAAAAGCGCCGGCUAACUACGUGCCAGCAGCCGCGGUAAUACGUAGGGCGCAAGCGUUAUCCGGAAUUAUUGGGCGUAAAGAGCUCGUAGGCGGUUUGUCGCGUCUGCUGUGAAAACCCGAGGCUCAACCUCGGGCCUGCAGUGGGUACGGGCAGACUAGAGUGCGGUAGGGGAGAUUGGAAUUCCUGGUGUAGCGGUGGAAUGCGCAGAUAUCAGGAGGAACACCGAUGGCGAAGGCAGAUCUCUGGGCCGUAACUGACGCUGAGGAGCGAAAGGGUGGGGAGCAAACAGGCUUAGAUACCCUGGUAGUCCACCCCGUAAACGUUGGGAACUAGUUGUGGGGUCCAUUCCACGGAUUCCGUGACGCAGCUAACGCAUUAAGUUCCCCGCCUGGGGAGUACGGCCGCAAGGCUAAAAACUCAAA
RNAcentral lists this ribosomal RNA (780 nucleotides) under Microbacterium sp. 845A3. RNAcentral describes it as "bacterial SSU rRNA". It matches the Rfam family "Bacterial small subunit ribosomal RNA", at positions 115 to 905 of the family's 1533-position model. Lineage: Bacteria; Bacillati; Actinomycetota; Actinomycetes; Micrococcales; Microbacteriaceae. The record is from RNAcentral.